RNAcentral lists this ribosomal RNA (301 nucleotides) under uncultured bacterium. Its description in RNAcentral is "partial 16S ribosomal RNA". It matches the Rfam family "Bacterial small subunit ribosomal RNA", at positions 509 to 807 of the family's 1533-position model. The record is from RNAcentral.
CAGCCGCCGCGGGAAUACGUAGGGUGCGAGCGUUAAUCGGAAUUACUGGGCGUAAAGCGUGCGCAGGCGGUGAUGUAAGACAGUUGUGAAAUCCCCGGGCUCAACCUGGGAACUGCAUCUGUGACUGCAUCGCUGGAGUGCGGCAGAGGGGGAUGGAAUUCCGCGUGUAGCAGUGAAAUGCGUAGAUAUGCGGAGGAACACCGAUGGCGAAGGCAAUCCCCUGGGCCUGCACUGACGCUGAGGCACGAAAGCGUGGGGAGCAAACAGGAUUAGAGACCCCUGUAGUCCCUGUCUCUUAUAC